RNAcentral lists this ribosomal RNA (1067 nucleotides) under uncultured bacterium. RNAcentral's name for it is "bacterial SSU rRNA". It matches the Rfam family "Bacterial small subunit ribosomal RNA", at positions 338 to 1397 of the family's 1533-position model. The record is from RNAcentral.
CCUACGGGAGGCAGCAGUGGGGAAUAUUGGACAAUGGGCGCAAGCCUGAUCCAGCAAUGCCGCGUGUGUGAAGAAGGCCUGCGGGUUGUAAAGCACUUUUGUUCGGGAAGAGAACGUGCCGGUUAAUACCCGGUAUGGAUGACGGUACCGAAAGAAUAAGCACCGGCUAACUUCGUGCCAGCAGCCGCGGUAAUACGAAGGGUGCAAGCGUUAAUCGGAAUUACUGGGCGUAAAGGGUGCGUAGGCGGCUUUUUAAGUCGGAUGUGAAAUCCCCGGGCUCAACCUGGGAAUGGCAUCCGAUACUGGGGAGCUAGAGUUUGGGAGAGGGUGGUGGAAUUCCCGGUGUAGCGGUGAAAUGCGUAGAGAUCGGGAGGAACAUCAGUGGCGAAGGCGACUCCCUGGACUCAAACUGACGCUGAGGCACGAAAGCGUGGGUAGCAAACAGGAUUAGAUACCCUGGUAGUCCACGCCGUAAACGAUGUCGACUAGCCGUUGGGCCCUUUUAGGGUUUAGUGGCGCAGCUAACGCAUUAAGUCGACCGCUUGGGGAGUACGGCCGCAAGGUUAAAACUCAAAUGAAUUGACGGGGGCCCGCACAAGCGGUGGAGCAUGUGGUUUAAUUCGAUGCAACGCGAAGAACCUUACCUACCCUUGACAUGUCUGAAAUCCCUGAGAGAUUGGGGAGUGCCUUCGGGAAUCAGAACACAGGUGCUGCAUGGCUGUCGUCAGCUCGUGUCGUGAGGUGUUGGGUUAAGUCCCGUAACGAGCGCAACCCUUGUCCUUAGUUGCCAGCGCGUAAUGGCGGGAACUCUAGGGAGACUGCCGGUGAUAAACCGGAGGAAGGUGGGGACGACGUCAAGUCAUCAUGGCCCUUAUGGGUAGGGCUACACACGUGCUACAAUGGCCGGUACAGAGGGCUGCGAACUUGCGAAAGUAAGCUAAUCCCAGAAAGCCGGUCCCAGUCCGGAUUGGAGUCUGCAACUCGACUCCAUGAAGUCGGAAUCGCUAGUAAUCGCGAAUCAGAAUGUCGCGGUGAAUACGUUCCCGGGCCUUGUACACACCGCCCGU